UCAAGACCAAGAAUGGGCGCGCGACCGAAAGACCGCGGGAUGGGGAACAGGGCCGAAGCCGUGCGCGGUGCCGAUCAUCGACGGGGACAGCCGAGUGGCGGCGGGCAGCGACGAGGGAGGCUGGAAAGGGCGGAGACUGAGCGGAAAGAGCCGAAGCUGAGCCGAUGUCGAGCGAUGGGGGCCGAAAACUGACGGAAGAAUCCGAAGGCCCAAGGGAGGGCUCGAGGGCCGCUCGGCGCCGUAGACCCAGUCGGGGAGCCGAGGCUGAGGACCGAGCGGCGGGACGCAAUGGGAGCGGGCGGGCCGCGCCCGAGAGCGGCGGCCCGGACACGCGGGACACCGAGGACGGCGGGACACCGAGGACGGCGGGACACCGAGGACGGCGGGACACCGAGGACGGCGGGACACCGAGGACGGCGGGACACCGAGGACGGAGCGGCUGUUGUGAAGCCCAACGUCCACAGGAUGGAAAGUACGGUGUUACUGUACCCUGAUACGUGACCCCGUGCUGCGCAGGGAAGUGUCCCCGAGGCCACGGCCAAGCCCCUCGUGGCACCCGGCACCCGGAGAACCUUGCAGACCACAGAGACAAGGCUGGAUCGCAGCUGCCCGAGCCUGGGGGUCGGGAGGGCACACAGGGUCCCAGCACAGCAAGAAAGUCAGGCUUGGGGGGGGGGCUGCUCAGAAGCACGUGCUCAGCUGCCCCUGCAGAGACCGGCCGCCCGUCCACCUGUCUCGUUCGGGUCACGUCCGGGGCUUCCUGCUCCCGGGGGGUGGGGGACAGCUGCAGGCCAGAAAAGACUGCACUCUUGGGCUGAAGCAGCAAAGCACACGACCGUGCACCCAGCUUGACGUCUGGCCCCCUUUGUUGUACUGUGGUCUGUACAGCAAGGGUUCCAGGAAGCUGACGAGGAUGCUAGAAAAUCCUGGGAGGAUAGGUUGGGCCAGGUGUCCCACAGGUGAAAGGCAGGUGAGGAUCACGGCCCUGUCCCCAGCACUCACCCCCCACGUGUCAACUGUUUCUUCUGCCAGUCACACGAUGACCACGUACCAACCACUUUACCCUUUUCUCACGUCCUGCCACUAACCAGGGUCCCGAGUCCCGAGUCCCCUGUGCUCAGGGGACCCUGGGGAAGCGGGGGGGCCCACCUUAUCCCCUCCUAGAACAUACCCCGUCCACUGGCUGAGGCACAGAUACCGUGACCGCCGCCGUCAGUGUCCAGGACCGCACAGACGCAGCAGGGAUUCACAGGAGAGAGAGAGACACAUGGGUUCAGGGUGGCGGAGAACCAAGCAGGCUCUGUGCUGUCACCUUAGACUCCGUCACGGGACUCGAACCCACAGACUAGGAGAUCAUGACCUGAGUUGACAUCCAGAGUCAGACGCCUGCCGACUGAGCCCCCCAGGCCCCGAGUUUGGAUUCCUAGAGCCACGCCAGAGUUCCCUGUCCCCUCCCCAGCGUCACACACAUUCUCUCCCAACGGGAAGGCCCCUUCUGGGGAACUGCUGUGGGAGAGCCCCGAGUCCCCAUCCUGAAUGUGCUCCCUGGGGAGCCGAGCUCCGCUGGUGCACGUGCCUCUCGCACUGGAAGAGUCUGGAACAGUCGUGAGCAGUAGGUCACCCUGCAAGGUGGGACUGGCUGUGCCGGCGCUGGAGGCUGUGUCCCUCUCGUGUACGACCAGCAGGACGCUUGGGACUGUAGGGUGUUUAGCAGGGAUGGCGCCCAGGCCACACGCCCAGAGUGAAAACCUGGGAACGCUGUAGGGGACACGGCUUCAGGCCACGGACGGGACAGACUCCCGUGGCACCACGUGGGCACUCACCACCUAGACAUGGACGCACCGUUUCCGGUCUGCGUCUCCACAGCACUGCACUGGGCCAGCUCAGAGGCCUCACGAGUUCACAUUAACUUCGUCUCCUUAUUGCUAGUUCUAGACCACGAGUUAAAGCUGGAUUCAAAUGCUCUUUACCCAAAAAAUUACAAAAAGAAAACGUUCACCAUAUGCACUUGAGGCAUCACGGUGGCGGCUCCUAGAGCUUUCCUGCUCGGCUGGGAACACAGCCAGUGCAGGACAGUGUUGGGGGGGCAGCUCCGUGUGCAGGGUCAGGUACAGCAGCAGGACACCCCCUCCUAGGGCGUCCGAGGCUGAGGGAGACGGAGACAUUGGAGCACAGAGAGGGAGCCCACACCACACGUGCCGGUCUGCACUGUGUUUUGUUUUGUUUUAACAUUUAUUUAUCAUUGAGAGACAGACACAGAGCGUGAGCCAGAGAGGGGCAGGGAGAGAGGGAGACACAGAAUCCGAAGCAGGCUCCAGGCUCCGAACUGUCAGCACAGAGCCCCACGCGGAGCUCGAACUCACAAACUGGGAGAUAUGACCUGAGCCGAAGUCAGUCGCCUAACCAACUGAGCCACCCAGGUGCCCCGAACUCACCGUCUGUUUUAAUGCACUUGCACUCAGCCUCACCAAGUGGACUCUGACCAGCAACUAAGGCGCCAUUUGGACAGCAGGUUUCAAGCCCGUCCCUUACUAGAGACAGCACUGCAGCGAAGGGGUGGGUGCUCCGUGGGAGGUCCCGUCCUAGGGAGGCGGAUGACACACAGACUCAUCAGCCUCCCCAGGACAGCGAGCCUUCUGCGAAACAGACAGGGGGAACGAUGUCAGAGCUCCGCACUGGGCCACCUGUCUAGAGUAGGUGGGUCACCUUCUAGAAGGACUGCCACGCAUUAUGCCAAGACUUGUCUCCGACUCCGCUUCAGCCUGCCCUUUGUGGACAUGGUGCAGAGCCAGUUGAGUGCCCUACACAGAUCAGUGGAGACGGACAGAGAAUCUGGGACUGACCCACACUUACAGGAUCAACUCCUGUUUGACGAAGGUUCCAGGACAGUCCGAUGUGGGAAAACAUGGUCCUUUCAACAGAAAGUGAUGGGGAAAGUGGACAUCCAUAUGGCCAAAAAAAUAACAUUGAUCCUUGCUUCACACGGUGCACGACAUAAAUUCCAAAUGGGUCACGUACAUAAUCAUAGAAUCAAACGUGUAGGAGAAACAUGGGAUAAAACAUGCCCUGUGUGUGUCCGGAUGUGCACGCAGUGGAGACGCAUACUUCACAACUUAAUACAGAAUAUACACAGAACUGUUUCCACAAUAACACAAACAGGUCCCCGAGAUGAUGGGAAGACACUUCCCAAAAAAUACACGGUUGCCCAGUAAGCACACAGAAAUGCUCAACGUAUUAGUCGCCGGAGAAAUCUAAAUUAAAACCAUGAGAUCCCACUAAACACCCACGUGAAUGACUACAGUGAAAAAGACGUGCCACAUGGCGAGGCUUUGGAGCAGUGGGGACUCUCCUACGCUGCUCACGGGAGCGGUGCUCACACUUUGCAAAACUACUUUCAUCAGUUUCUUUUAAAAGUUAAAAUACAGGGGGUGCCCAGAUGGCCCAGUUGGU
Molecule: RNA transcript, 3450 nt
Organism: Prionailurus viverrinus (fishing cat)
Lineage: Eukaryota; Metazoa; Chordata; Mammalia; Carnivora; Felidae
Exons: 3
Source: RefSeq, a predicted model, not a curated record